UACGGAGGGUGCAAGCGUUGUCCGGAUUCAUUGGGUUUAAAGGGUGCGCAGGCGGGCGAUUAAGUCAGGGGUGAAAGACGGUUGCUCAACAAUCGCAGUGCCUUUGAUACUGGUUGUCUUGGGUGACCUUGAGGUAGGCGGAAUGGGUGGUGUAGCGGUGAAAUGCGUAGAUAUCUGGAGGAAUACCGGUGGCGAAGGCGGCGUUCUGGACCAUUACUGACACUGAAUCGCGAAAGCUAGGGGAGCAAACGGG
RNAcentral lists this ribosomal RNA (253 nucleotides) under uncultured bacterium. RNAcentral describes it as "partial 16S ribosomal RNA". It matches the Rfam family "Bacterial small subunit ribosomal RNA", at positions 524 to 776 of the family's 1533-position model. The record is from RNAcentral.